This 5625-nucleotide small RNA is filed under the name Pan troglodytes (chimpanzee). Its description in RNAcentral is "retained intron". The record is from RNAcentral. Lineage: Eukaryota; Metazoa; Chordata; Mammalia; Primates; Hominidae.
UGCUUUAAGUCCUUUUUGUAAGCUUGGGAAUGUAUCCACGGAAAGGAUUUUUCAUAGACGGAAUUUCCAGAAGUGAAUCAUAACUACUGUUAGAGCAUAAGCAUGCAUGAUUGUGCUGUGUAGAUCAGUUUUGUUGAAAGUUUAGAUUGUUGUGUUUGUCAAUUAUAAUUUAAUGUUUCAGUUUUUAUAUGAAAUGUUGUAAAUGUAUACCUUUUUAAAAACUUGAAGUUCCAAUAACUUAAAGCAUUGAAAUAUAAAAUGAGGUAAAAGGUGUUUUGAAUUUAGUAAAACUGUUAUUUAAUGCUUAAAACUUAAUUGAAUUGUAUAAUUCUCAACAUUAAGUUGCAUAGAUAUGUGUUCUUAAGUUGUUGAAUUCUUAAUGCAUCCUGUGUUCAGCAAGUUUUUUUUAAUAUAUACUGUACCAUGGGUGUGUUAAGAAUAGUUAUACUUUAUAAUAAUGGAACUUCAUAUUAUUGCAAUGCAUAUUUAAAGAGUACUUGUUGAAAGCAUACCAUUCACCUAAAGUUAAAAAUUCUGGUUUAUUUAAAGCUAUAAGAAGAAUCAUUUCUGGGCUUGUGAUGUUAAUAUUGCCCCCCUACUGGGGUUAUUUGUCCUUGGGUUGAAGGGUUGGAAAUCGUGCCAAAUGGGAUAACAUUGCCGGUGGACUUCCAGGGGAGGAGUACGGGGGAGGCCUUCGUGCAGUUUGCUUCACAGGAAAUAGCUGAAAAGGCUCUAAAGAAACACAAGGAAAGAAUAGGGCACAGGUGGGGAUGGAUGGUUGGUUGGAUAUGUCACUUUUCUUAUGGUAAACAAUUAAAUCCAUAUUCUCUCUGCUUAAAAGAAGAAAUUAAUGUUUUGUAGUCCUAGGUAAUUGAUGUUUUGCCAUGAUUUCCAAACUUUUCUUAUGUCAGUCCCAUGUUACACGCAAACUAAAUUUUAGGUUUAAAAUUUGUCCCUAGUUAAUUGGUCUGCUUGACAAUUUUGUGAGUCUUAUUAACCCCAAUCAAUAGAGUUGAGAGACUAUGGCUUUAAAAAAUUAAUGCAAACCUGGCUUUAGCUGUAAUAACACCCACCUAGAAUAAAUUAAUAUUACCAUAAGAAAAUGUGAUACUUUCUGAUCUUGUUUUUAAAGUUGAAAUGCAACAAACUUUUUCUUGCUGUAUAUAAAUAUUCUGCAUAGUAUUAAUAAGCAUAGCUUUCAAGAAAUUGUCACAAAAGGUUUUAUUCUCUUUGCUUGUGACUAUUUUUCAUUGAAGCAUGCGCUUACCUAUGCUGAUUCUUACUAAAAGCAUAGGCUGGGGUAUUUAUUGGCGAAAGGAAAUGUGUAGUGUGGGCUGGACUGUUGGUGGAGGCUGGCUUUUUAGCCCACUUGCUAUACAUGCUGCCAAUGGAUUUAAGACUUGAAAUGUUGAAAGUUGAGUGGAAUUAUUUCCCUCCUAAAACAUUUAUUUACAGUACUCCUCUCUACCCCUAAGGUUGGGCUCUGCCUCAGAGGAGUGAGUUUUUUUUUUUUUUUUCUAUAAAGUUUACAUUGUCUUACUAUUUAUUGAGUGAAUUUCUGGUCAUUGCCUAUGCAAAUAUAAGAAAUCUGGCUUUAAAUAUUAGUCAGUUUCAUGGCUAUGACUAGAUUGUUUUCUUGUAUAACUAAAUACCUGUAUAAAAUGAACUAAUGUUUUCUCUCCCCUCCCUACCCCUUCCCUAUGAACAAUGCUUUAGGUAUAUUGAAAUCUUUAAGAGCAGUAGAGCUGAAGUUAGAACUCACUAUGAUCCACCACGAAAGCUUAUGGCCAUGCAGCGGCCAGGUCCUUAUGACAGACCUGGGGCUGGUAGAGGGUAUAACAGCAUUGGCAGAGGAGCUGGCUUUGAGAGGAUGAGGCGUGGUGCUUAUGGUGGAGGCUAUGGAGGCUAUGAUGAUUACAAUGGCUAUAAUGAUGGCUAUGGAUUUGGGUCAGAUAGAUUUGGAAGAGGUAAGGUAAGAAUUGAAUUUCUCAGUUGAAGGAUGCUUACACUCUUGUCCAUCUAGACCUCAAUUACUGUUUUUCAGGAAUGUCUGAUCACAGAUACGGGGAUGGUGGCUCUACUUUCCAGAGCACAACAGGACACUGUGUACACAUGCGGGGAUUACCUUACAGAGCUACUGAGAAUGACAUUUAUAAUUUUUUUUCACCGCUCAACCCUGUGAGAGUACACAUUGAAAUUGGUCCUGAUGGCAGAGUAACUGGUGAAGCAGAUGUCGAGUUCGCAACUCAUGAAGAUGCUGUGGCAGCUAUGUCAAAAGACAAAGCAAAUAUGCGUAAGUGUGAUCGAGCAUUUGUGGGCUCUUAACAGGUGAUUGUGUGACUAACAUUUACAAUAGAGAAAUGGAAAAAUAAGGAUAUAUGAGAAGUUUCCUCUCCAGUAAUAGAUUAAUUCUUGGGGGAUGCGGGGGCAGUGUGUUGAAGGUUUGGGUUUUAAAAAUUAGUAUAACGGAUCUGUGAUAUGCACAUCUUGAAGUGUAUAUCCUUAAUUGACAAUACAGAUGAAUAUGUAAAGGCUAGAUUUUGGAGUUAAAGUAGAUCACCUAAGAGAAGUAGCUAGAAUUUCUUUGCCAAAGUAUUUGAAGUUCACAGAUCUGCUUGUUUAAAAACUUUAUAAAAGUGCUUAUCCUGUUUUGUUUCACCAACAAACAUUUUCAAACUUUUUUUUUCUCAUUUCAGAACACAGAUAUGUAGAACUCUUCUUGAAUUCUACAGCAGGAGCAAGCGGUGGUGCUUACGGUAGCCAAAUGCUAGGAGGCAUGGGUUUGUGUAAAUAUCACUUUAGUGUCUUUUUUUUAAGCUAACCUUGUAUGCCUUUUCUCUCAUUUCAGAACACAGAUAUGUAGAACUCUUCUUGAAUUCUACAGCAGGAGCAAGCGGUGGUGCUUAUGGUAGCCAAAUGAUGGGAGGCAUGGGCUUGUGUAAAUAUCGUUAGUUUUUUUAAAAACCAAAACGUUUAUAUUUGUAUAAGUCAAUUAUAAGUUAAGUUAAUCUAUUUAUUUAAUAAGUUUAGCAUAAGAAACUUAGGCAAAGCAGUUUCUUGAUAUUUGAGUUUUGUAUCUGGCUUACUUAAAUCCUUGUGAGUUAUGAAGUUCCUUAGGAUAGAUAAUUCAAAUUAGAUUUAAGUACUCUUGGGGGAGGGGACUAUGGAGUGAAACUACUUAAAUUUUUUAAGUAUAAAGUUUAAAUCUAAAAUAGCAAAACAGGAUUAAGAUAAAUGUGGGCAUAAUUAGGUGUAUUGACAUGCCUUUGAUGUAUCAAACUGAGGGGGAACCCACUAAAUCCAGUCAAGCAGUUUCAUAAGAUCUUCACAAAAUGCCUCUACUUACGGAAUCAUGUUGAUUUUAGUCCUGCUGAUGUGUGUGCCGUUAGCACUUUGGUUUAUCAGUAUUUGACUGGCUCAAAUGAUGGAUAGAAGGGUGGCCUGGUUAUAGACAGUAGGCAGAAGGAGGCAGAGGGUUACAGUAAUGUAAGAUCAAGACUGGAAAAUGAUAGCUAUAGAAUUACAAGCCCGGUACCACCAGGUACCACAUCACAUAAGAAAAAAGGUUCUAAUGUUUUCUUAACUUAACAGCAAACCAGUCCAGCUACGGGGGCCCAGCCAGCCAGCAGCUGAGUGGGGGUUACGGAGGUGGCUACGGUGGCCAGAGCAGCAUGAGUGGAUACGGUAAAGCCUGUUUGUUACUGUACUUUAAGUUAUGGUAAAGCCUGUUCAUUACUGUACUUAGAGUAAGUUACGGUAAAGCCUGUUUGUUACUGUACUUAGAGUAAGUCGCAGGCAGGUGCCUUUAGUUGGGAAGAUGCAGGCUCCUUUCGGUGAAAUUGGGUUAUGAAAUGUAUGCUUUCAAUCCAAAUGUAACUUUUUACUAGCUAAUUUUCAGAAACAAUCAUUGGGAGGGGGAAGUGUUCUUUGAAUUAAGAACUAGUCAUUGCAGCUUUGGAAUACUGUCGAGCCAGAAAAUAGCUGCCUCCAUGUAUUAAAACAUUAAAUAAAGUUGUUCACUUUUUUGUCUUUUGGUUAGCAUUAAGUCAGUUUUAGACAGAGGGAGAAUUUGAAAUAGUAGAAUGGUGGUUGGGUUCAGGAUCGUAUUUAUUAGUCAGUUAACCUAGGAUUGGUUUUAUUUAUUUUUUUUCAAUUGGUCUAAAGAAUGGUGAUUUUGGUAUUAUAGUCUUACCCUACAAAAUCCUUUUGCAGACCAAGUUUUACAGGAAAACUCCAGUGAUUUUCAAUCAAACAUUGCAUAGGUAAAUAUUUUCUCAAAAAAUAUAAAUUCCCAAUAGCAAAUACUGAUAUGUUGUAAUAAUACUUUCUAUAGCAGUCAAUGGCUCUGACUUAACUCCAUGGAGGCUGCCAUUUGGGCACAGUGAGUUGCCUUUAGUCCAGCUUGGUUGUCUCACUUCCUGCCCACCAUGAAUAGGAAAAGCAAGAGACUUCUCCUGUGCUCCCUUUUCUCAAAUGCCAUUCGAGGGACACAUUGUGAAUGUUUAUGUUAAAUUUUUUUAAAAAGUGCCUUGUUUAGCUUUAAAAAUACGAAGUAAUUUUGCAAUUUUUGAAAAACACUAGUUUUCCUUUAAACUUAACUUUUCAUGUUGAUCCUGAAGAAUCCGUUAAAAUGGUAGCACAAGAGUCUGGCAAGUUGGUACUGGAGAGAAAAGGGGUUAAUUGAGGCUUGUUUGGAGUCGGGAUUCCCCUUUCCCAAACAUGCGUCUCGCCACUUGGACAGCAGCCAUUUGUACUCGUAUACUUUUUAAACUUUUUCUUGGAAUACUAUAUUUUAUUUGACUGGUAGUCUGAUAUUACUCCUAACUUGUCAAAUUGAUCUCUUUGCAGGUAACCAAGGAGCAGUGAACAGCAGCUACUACAGUAGUGGAAGCCGUGCAUCUAUGGGCGUGAACGGAAUGGGAGGGAUGUCUAGCAUGUCCAGUAUGAGUGGUGGAUGGGGAAUGUAAUUGAUCGAUCCUUAUCACUGACUCUUGGUCAACCUUUUUUUUUUUUUUUUUAAGAAAAAAACUUCAGUUUAACAGUUUCUGCAAUACAAGCUUGUGAUUUAUGCUUACUCUAAGUGGAAAUCAGGAUUGUUAUGAAGACUUAAGGCCCAGUAUUUUUGAAUACAAUACUCAUCUAGGAUGUAACAGUGAAGCUGAGUAAACUAUAACUGUUAAACUUAAGUUCCAGCUUUUCUCAAGUUAGUUAUAGGAUGUACUUAAGCAGUAAGCGUAUUUAGGUAAAAGCAGUUGAAUUAUGUUAAAUGUUGCCCUUUGCCACGUUACAUUGAACACUGUUUUGGAUGCAUGUUGAAAGACAUGCUUUUAUUUUUUUGUAAAACAAUAUAGGAGCUGUGUCUACUAUUAAAAGUGAAACAUUUUGGCAUGUUUGUUAAUUCUAGUUUGAUUUAAUAACCUGUAAGGCACGUAAGUUUAAGCUUUUUUUUUUUUUUUUAAGUUAAUGGGAAAAAUUUGAGACGCAAUACCAAUACUUAGGAUUUUGGUCUUGGUGUUUGUAUGAAAUUCUGAGGCCUUGAUUUAAAUCUUUCAUUGUAUUGUGAUUUCCUUUUAGGUAUAUUGCGCUAAGUGAAACUUGUCAAAUAAAUCCUCCUUUUAAAAACUG